Molecule: ribosomal RNA, 460 nt
Filed under: uncultured bacterium
Lineage: Bacteria
Description: partial 16S ribosomal RNA
Rfam family: Bacterial small subunit ribosomal RNA
Source: RNAcentral
CCUACGGGAGUCUGCAGUGAGGAAUAUUGGUCAAUGGACGAGAGUCUGAACCAGCCAAGUAGCGUGAAGGAUGACUGCCCUAUGGGUUGUAAACUUCUUUUAUAUGGGAAUAAAAUGUUCCACGUGUGGGAUUUUGUAUGUACCAUAUGAAUAAGGAUCGGCUAACUCCGUGCCAGCAGCCGCGGUAAUACGGAGGAUCCGAGCGUUAUCCGGAUUUAUUGGGUUUAAAGGGAGCGUAGGUGGAUUGUUAAGUCAGUUGUGAAAGUUUGCGGCUCAACCGUAAAAUUGCAGUUGAAACUGGCAGUCUUGAGUACAGUAGAGGUGGGCGGAAGUCGUGGUGUAGCGGUGAAAUGCUUAGAUAUCACGAAGAACUCCGAUUGCGAAGGCAGUUCACUGGACUGCAACUGACACUGAGGCUCGAAAGUGUGGGUAUCAAACAGGAUUAGAUACCCCAGUAGUC